GGGGNAACGGCCCACCGGGGUUUCGANGGGUAGCCGGCCUGAGAGGGGGGCGGGCCACAUUGGGAUUGAGAUACGGCCCANACUCCUACGGGAGGAAGCAGUGGGGAAUAUUGCNCAANGGGGGCAAGCCUGAUGCAGCGACGCCGGGNGAGGGAUGGAGGCCUUCGGGUUGUAAACCUCUUUUAUCGGGGAGAAAGGGAGAGUGAGUUUACCCGUUGAAUAAGCACCGGUUAAUUACGUGCCAGCAGCCGNGGUAAUACGUAGGGUGCAAGCGUUAUCCGGAAUUAUUGGGCGUAAAGGGCUCGUAGGCGGUUCGUCGCGUCCGGUGUGAAAGUCCAUCGCUUAACGGUGGAUCCGCGCCGGGUACGGGCGGGCUUGAGUGCGGUAGGGGAGACUGGAAUUCCCGGUGUAACGGUGGAAUGUGUAGAUAUCGGGAAGAACACCAAUGGCGAAGGCAGGUCUCUGGGCCGUUACUGACGCUGAGGAGCGAAAGCGUGGGGAGCGAACAGGAUUAGAUACCCUGGUAGUCCACGCCGUAAACGGUGGAUGCUGGAUGUGGGGCCCGUUCCACGGGUUCCGUGUCGGAGCUAACGCGUUAAGCAUCCGGCCUGGGGAGUACGGCCGCAAGGCUAAAACUCAAAGAAAUUGACGGGGGCCCGCACAAGCGGCGGAGCAUGCGGAUUAAUUGGAUGCAACGCGAAGAACCUUACCUGGGCUUGACAUGUUCCCGACGGUCGUAGAGAUACGGCUUCCCUUCGGGGCGGGUUCACAGGUGGUGCAUGGUCGUCGUCAGCUCGUGUCGUGAGAUGUUGGGUUAAGUCCCGCAACGAGCGCAACCCUCGCCCCGUGUUGCCAGCGGAUUAUGCCGGGAACUCACGGGGGACCGCCGGGGUUAACUCGGAGGAAGGUGGGGAUGACGUCAGAUCAUCAUGCCCCUUACGUCCAGGGCUUCACGCAUGCUACAAUGGCCGGUACAACGGGAUGCGACGCGGCGACGCGGAGCGGAUCCCUGAAAACCGGUCUCAGUUCGGAUCGCAGUCUGCAACUCGACUGCGUGANNGCGGANUCNCUAGUAAUCGCGAAUCAGCAACGUCGC
This 1096-nucleotide ribosomal RNA is filed under the name Bifidobacterium sp. HMLN1. RNAcentral describes it as "bacterial SSU rRNA". It matches the Rfam family "Bacterial small subunit ribosomal RNA", at positions 254 to 1360 of the family's 1533-position model. The record is from RNAcentral. Lineage: Bacteria; Bacillati; Actinomycetota; Actinomycetes; Bifidobacteriales; Bifidobacteriaceae.